GAUGAACGCUGGCGGCGUGCCUAAUACAUGCAAGUCGAGCGAACGGACGAGAAGCUUGCUUCUCUGAUGUUAGCGGCGGACGGGUGAGUAACACGUGGAUAACCUACCUAUAAGACUGGGAUAACUUCGGGAAACCGUAGCUAAUACCGGAUAAUAUUUUGAACCGCAUGGUUCAAAGGUGAAAGACGGUCUUGCUGUCACUUAUAGAUGGAUCCGCGCUGCAUUAGCUAGUUGGUAAGGUAACGGCUUACCAAGGCAACGAUGCAUAGCCGACCUGAGAGGGUGAUCGGCCACACUGGAACUGAGACACGGUCCAGACUCCUACGGGAGGCAGCAGUAGGGAAUCUUCCGCAAUGGGCGAAAGCCUGACGGAGCAACGCCGCGUGAGUGAUGAAGGUCUUCGGAUCGUAAAACUCUGCUAUUAGGGAAGAACAUAUGUGUAAGUAACUGUGCACAUCUUGACGGUACCUAAUCAGAAAGCCACGGCUAACUACGUG
Molecule: ribosomal RNA, 497 nt
Filed under: uncultured bacterium
Lineage: Bacteria
Description: partial 16S ribosomal RNA
Rfam family: Bacterial small subunit ribosomal RNA
Source: RNAcentral